Molecule: ribosomal RNA, 799 nt
Filed under: uncultured bacterium
Lineage: Bacteria
Description: bacterial SSU rRNA
Rfam family: Bacterial small subunit ribosomal RNA
Source: RNAcentral
AGAGUUUGAUCCUGGCUCAGAGUGAACGCUGGCGGCAUGCCUAACACAUGCAAGUCGAACGGCAGCACAGUAGUAGCAAUACUAUGGGUGGCGAGUGGCGGACGGGUGAGGAAUACAUCGGAAUUUGCCCUGUCGUGGGGGAUAACGUAGGGAAACUUACGCUAAUACCGCAUACGACCUAACGGUGAAAGCGGGGGAUCGAAAGACCUCGCGCGGUUGGAGAAGCCGAUGUCAGAUUAGCUAGUUGGCGGGGUAAAGGCCCACCAAGGCGACGAUCUGUAGCUGGUCUGAGAGGAUGAUCAGCCACACUGGGACUGAGACACGGCCCAGACUCCUACGGGAGGCAGCAGUGGGGAAUAUUGGACAAUGGGGGCAACCCUGAUCCAGCAAUGCCGCGUGUGUGAAGAAGGCCUUCGGGUUGUAAAGCACUUUUAUCUGGAGCGAAACACGCAAGGUUAAUAACUUUGCGGACUGACGGUACCAGAGGAAUAAGCACCGGCUAACUUCGUGCCAGCAGCCGCGGUAAUACGAAGGGUGCAAGCGUUACUCGGAAUUACUGGGCGUAAAGCGUGCGUAGGUGGUUUCUUAAGUCUGCUGUGAAAGCCCCGGGCUCAACCUGGGAAUUGCAGUGGAUACUGGGAAGCUAGAGUGCGGUAGAGGGUAGUGGAAUUCCCGGUGUAGCGGUGAAAUGCGUAGAGAUCGGGAGGAACACCAGUGGCGAAGGCGGCUACCUGGACCAGCACUGACACUGAGGCACGAAAGCGUGGGGAGCAAACAGGAUUAGAUACCCUAGUAGUCC